CCCUUAGAUGUUCUGGGCCGCACGCGCGCUACACUGACGAAGUCAGCGAGCAUGUCCUACGCCGACAGGUGCGGGGAAUCUUGUCAAACUUCGUCGUGAUGGGGAUUGAUUAUUGAAAUUCUUGAUCAUCAACGAGGAAUUCCUAGUAAGCGCAAGUCAGCAGCUUGCGUUAAUUACGUCCCUGCCCUUUGUACACACCGCCCGUCGCUACUACCGAUUGAAUGGUUUAGUGAGAUCUUCGGAUUGGCGCCACUGCGGCUCAGCAAUGGGCUCGGUGGAUGCCGAAAAGUUGAUCAAACUUGAUCAUUUAGAGGAAGUAAAAGUCGUAACA
Molecule: ribosomal RNA, 331 nt
Filed under: uncultured eukaryote
Lineage: Eukaryota
Description: partial 18S ribosomal RNA
Rfam family: Eukaryotic small subunit ribosomal RNA
Source: RNAcentral